UCCAUUGAAAUGUACGUGGACUACAAAUGCAAUUAAUUUCAUCGAAACUUCUGGAAGGACGCUAUUGCGAAAACCCGCAGACUUGAUCCCAAAAGAUUGGGUAUAACUAUGAAAGAGUUCCAAAUCAUGCUAGAUCAAGGAAUUAUACUACCCUCGAAAAGCGAGUGGGCUAACCCUUUGUGCCUACAACCAAUGGAAAUUGGCGCCCGUGCGGGGAUUUUUGUUUUCUCAACAAGAUAACUACCCCAGGAAGCCAUCAAAUCCCUGGAGGACGUAUUUUUGAAUUCAAAAACCGCCCUUGGCUGUGGCAGAUCUUUCAGCGAGAUGGCUGAAAAGUUCAAAUUCACCUGUUCUGGGUACCGGGCCAGAUGAGUUUGCGAGACCAGGAACUACCUUACACAUACCAGGGGAACUGUGGGUAUGACUUUCGCGACAUGCAAGAACUUGUCUGAUUUAGCAGAUGUGAAAAUCCGUAAGUUAUUGGGCCUUUUAAAGCGAUCUGGAUGGUUCAACGUUAGGAACUAGAAGGCAUCUUUCUUCUCCUGUUCCUGUGGUAUCAUA
Long non-coding RNA from Stomoxys calcitrans (stable fly), 561 nucleotides. RefSeq lists it as uncharacterized. The record is from RefSeq and is a predicted model, not a curated record. NCBI's taxonomy places the organism in Eukaryota, Metazoa, Arthropoda, Insecta, Diptera, Muscidae. The transcript is spliced from 3 exons.